This 463-nucleotide ribosomal RNA is filed under the name uncultured bacterium. RNAcentral describes it as "partial 16S ribosomal RNA". It matches the Rfam family "Bacterial small subunit ribosomal RNA", at positions 28 to 507 of the family's 1533-position model. The record is from RNAcentral.
GAUGAACGCUGACAGAAUGCUUAACACAUGCAAGUCUUUGGCGAAGCUGUGCUUGCACAGCCUAGCCAAGGCGGACGGGUGAGUAACGCGUAAGGAACUUGCCCUGCAGUCAGGGAUAACAGACGGAAACGACUGAUAAGACCUGGUAAAGUCAGGCGGACUCAUGUCCAGCCUGAUGAAAAGAGAUGCUGCAGGAGAGCCUUGCGUCCUAUUAGCUUGUUGGUGGGGUAACGGCCCACCAAGGCGAUGAUAGGUAGCCGGCCUGAGAGGGUGGACGGCCACAAGGGGACUGAGAUGCGGCCCUUACUCCUACGGGAGGCAGCAGUGGGGAAUAUUGGACAAUGGGGGCAACCCUGAUCCAGCAAUUCUGUGUGCACGAUGAAGGUUUUCGGAUUGUAAAGUGCUUUCAGCAGGGAAGAAAAAAAUGACGGUACCUGCAGAAGAAGCGACGGCUAAAUACGUG